GUCGCGAAGUGAAGCAGUGAUUAUUUUGGAGUUAACGAGCCAGGGGGUGAUCGGUGUUCGGUAGGUUGCAUUAACCGAAUGAAGGAAAAACACUUUAGGUUCGGGGAAACUUGAACUAGGGGGAACUGUUCUUAGAAGCAGAGAUAUAGUGAGUUUGUCACAGUUAUGUUUUUGCAAAUAUUUAUUUUACUCUGAUAAAACCACCUCUUCAGGCAGAGAUUUCACAUCCUUAUUGUUUUUACUGUUAAGAACAAUUUCCUUUGCCUUAUACUAAAU
Molecule: non-coding RNA, 276 nt
Organism: Pelobates cultripes (western spadefoot toad)
Lineage: Eukaryota; Metazoa; Chordata; Amphibia; Anura; Pelobatidae
Source: the annotation of a GenBank genome assembly